AACGAACGCUGGCGGCGCGCUUAACACAUGCAAGUCGAACGAGAAGGCGUAGCAAUACGCUUGUACAGUGGCGAACGGGUGAGUAAUACGUGGGCGACCUACCCUCGAGUGGGGAAUAACCCGCCGAAAGGCGGGCUAAUGCCGCGUACGCUUCCAUCUUUAUGGAGGUGGAAGGAAAGCCGUGCCGUGGGCACGGCGCUCAAGGAUGGGCUCACGUCCUAUCAGCUUGUUGGAGGGUAACGGCCUACCAAGGCUCCGACGGGUAGCUGGUCUGAGAGGACGAUCAGCCACACUGGCACUGCGACACGGGCCAGACUCCUACGGGAGGCAGCAGUGAGGAAUAUUGCGCAAUGGGCGAAAGCCUGACGCAGCGACGCCGCGUGGGGGAGUGAAGGU
RNAcentral lists this ribosomal RNA (396 nucleotides) under uncultured bacterium. RNAcentral's name for it is "bacterial SSU rRNA". It matches the Rfam family "Bacterial small subunit ribosomal RNA", at positions 29 to 415 of the family's 1533-position model. The record is from RNAcentral.